AUUGAACGCUGGCGGCAGGCCUAACACAUGCAAGUCGAACGGUAACAGGAAGCAGCUUGCUGCUUUGCUGACGAGUGGCGGACGGGUGAGUAAUGUCUGGGAAACUGCCCGAUGGAGGGGGAUAACUACUGGAAACGGUAGCUAAUACCGCAUAACGUCGCAAGACCAAAGAGGGGGACCUUCGGGCCUCUUGCCAUCGGAUGUGCCCAGAUGGGAUUGGCUAGUAGGUGGGGUAACGGCUCACCUAGGCGACGAUCCCUAGCUGGUCUGAGAGGAUGACCAGCCACACUGGAACUGAGACACGGUCCAGACUCCUACGGGAGGCAGCAGUGGGGAAUAUUGCACAAUGGGCGCAAGCCUGAUGCAGCCAUGCCGCGUGUAUGAAGAAGGCCUUCGGGUUGUAAAGUACUUU
Molecule: ribosomal RNA, 412 nt
Filed under: uncultured Escherichia sp.
Lineage: Bacteria; Pseudomonadati; Pseudomonadota; Gammaproteobacteria; Enterobacterales; Enterobacteriaceae
Description: bacterial SSU rRNA
Rfam family: Bacterial small subunit ribosomal RNA
Source: RNAcentral